Long non-coding RNA from Trifolium pratense (red clover), 316 nucleotides. RefSeq lists it as uncharacterized. The transcript has 2 exons. NCBI's taxonomy places the organism in Eukaryota, Viridiplantae, Streptophyta, Magnoliopsida, Fabales, Fabaceae. The record is from RefSeq and is a predicted model, not a curated record.
ACAUGAAAUUUUUACCUAUAAAUUGAUACAAAAAAAAAAAAAAAUUAUUAAUUACAAGCAAAUGGCUCAAACUCUCAAGUUUGUUUAUGCUUUCAUCAUCUUUCUUUCUUUGUUUCUUGUUGUAGCCAAUGGUGCUAUUAUUCCUUGUGCUACCGACGAUGAUUGUCCAAAGGCCAUUCCCCGUACAUAUUAUAAGUGCGUGAAUAGGAUUUGUAUUGUGUUGAGCAAGGGGUUUGUAGGACUGUAAUAUUUUUUUUUUUUUUGUUAUAGACUGUAAUAUUAUUAUUACACUACAAGAAAUAAGAUAUUUCACGGU